CAGCAUCAACAUCAACAAAACCUUCAACAGAAACAACAAUGGGAAACAGCACAGAGGCAAAGAUGAACCAAACACCACCAACAACCAAUCAAACUAAACAACAAGCAACCAUCAUCGGUGUGGCUGUGGGUUUAGCAUCACUCUUGAUAAUUGUUUUGGUGCUCAUCAGAUUAAAGAAAUCUAAACGGAACAAAACACAGACGGAUGA
Molecule: long non-coding RNA, 208 nt
Organism: Scomber scombrus (Atlantic mackerel)
Lineage: Eukaryota; Metazoa; Chordata; Actinopteri; Scombriformes; Scombridae
Exons: 3
Source: RefSeq, a predicted model, not a curated record